AACGGCAUGGGAAGGCCGGUCAGAGAGUGUGAGAACCACGUAGGUGAAAACGACAAGAGCUGAGCGAGUUCCAGAGUACGGCCAGACACGUGAAACCUGGUCGGAAGAUGGGGGGACCACCCUCCAACCCUAAAUACUACCCAGUGACCGAUAGCGUAUAGUACUGUGAAGGAAAGGUGAAAAGCACCCCGGGAGGGGAGUGAAAAAGAACCUGAAACCCUGUGCCUACAAGCACCUAGAGCACGUCAAUGUGUGAUAGGGUACUUUUUGUAGAACGGUCCGGCGAGCGAUUGUAUGCAGCAAGGUUAAGGACUUAAGGUCUGGAGCCGAAGCGAAAGCGAGUUUGAAAAGGGCGUUAAGUUGCAUACAAUGGGCCCGAAACCGGGUGACCUACCCAUGGUCAGGUUGAAGUGGAAGUAAAAUUCCAUGGAGGACCGAACCGACCUCCGUUGAAAAGGCGGCGGAUGAACUGUGGGUAGCGGAGAAAUUCCAAUCGAACCCGGAGAUAGCUGGUUCUCCCCGAAAUAGUUUUAGGACUAGCCUCAAGUUAGAUACCUGGAGGUAAAGCACUGAAUAGCCUAGCGGCCGAGAGGUUAGCGAAGCUUAUCAAACUCAGAAUGCCAGAGUAUUGAUGCUUGGGAGUCAGACAGUGUCAGAUAAAUGUCAUUGUCAAAAGGGAAACAGCCCAGAUCUACAGCUAAGGUCCCAAAGUCAGGUUAAGUGGAAAACGAUGUGAAGAUACGCAGACAACCAGGAUGUUGGCUCAGAAGCAGCCACUCAUUCAAAGAGUGCGUAAUAGCUCACUGGUCGAGCGUCUUUGCGCGGAGAAUUUAACGGGGCUAAACCUGACACCGAAGCUUAGGCAAUACAGCAAUGUAUUGGGUAGGGGAGCGUUGUAUACGCGGAGAAACAGUAGCGUAAGCGGCUGUGGAGUGUAUAGAAGUGAGAAUGCCGGAAUGAGUAGCGCGAAUGCAGUGAGAAUCUGCAUGGCCGAAAGCCUCAGGUUUCUGGAGGAAGGUUCGUCCGCUCCAGGUUAGUCGGGAGCUAAGGUGAGGCCUAACGGCGUAGCCGAUGCACAGACGGUAGAGAUUCCGUCACCACCAAAAGAGUUAAACACAGGGACACAUUUGAAGUCUCGGAGCCGGGUGUUGGUUCCGGUAGCGAUCGAGGGAAAUUAGUACCGAAGUCCGGGAUGGAAGAUGGCGAGAAAAGCUGUGUGUAUUUCUGCGGUGCCCGUACCGCAAACCGACACAGGUAGGUAGGAAGAAGAUUCUAAGGCCAACGGGAGAAGGGUUGUUAAGGAACUCGGCAAAUUGACCCCGUAACUUCGGGAGAAGGGGUGCUCCAGAGAUGGAGCCGCAGAGAAUCGGCCCAAGCAACUGUUUACCAAAAACACAGGUUUGUGCUAAAUCGAAAGAUGACGUAUACGAGCUGACGCCUGCCCGGUGCUGGAAGGUUAAGAGGAGAUGUGCAAGCAUUGAAUCGAAGCCCCAGUGAACGGCGGCCGUAACUAUAACGGUCCUAAGGUAGCGAAAUUCCUUGUCAGGUAAG
RNAcentral lists this ribosomal RNA (1551 nucleotides) under human gut metagenome. RNAcentral describes it as "bacterial LSU rRNA". It matches the Rfam family "Bacterial large subunit ribosomal RNA", at positions 336 to 1980 of the family's 2925-position model. The record is from RNAcentral.